AUUGAACGCUGGCGGCAGGCUUAACACAUGCAAGUCGAGCGAGCGGCGGACGGGUGAGUAAUGUCUGGGAAACUGCCUGAUGGAGGGGGAUAACUACUGGAAACGGUAGCUAAUACCGCAUACCAUCAGAUGUGCCCAGAUGGGAUUAGCUAGUAGGGGGGGGAAUGGCUCACCUGGGCGACGAUCCCUAGCUGGUCUGAGAGGAGGACCAGACAAACUGGAACUGGUACCUGGUCCAGAGUCCUACGGACGGCGGAAGUGGGGAAUAUGGCACAAUGGGCGAAAGCCUGAGGCAGCCAUGCCGGGUGUGUGAAGAAGGCCUUCGGGUUGGAAAGCACUUUCAGCGAGGAGGCGUUACUCGCAGAAGAAGCACCGGCUAACUCCGUGCCAGCAGCCGCGGUAAUUC
RNAcentral lists this ribosomal RNA (406 nucleotides) under uncultured bacterium. Its description in RNAcentral is "partial 16S ribosomal RNA". It matches the Rfam family "Bacterial small subunit ribosomal RNA", at positions 29 to 526 of the family's 1533-position model. The record is from RNAcentral.